GAAGCAGCCACUCAUUCAAAGAGUGCGUAAUAGCUCACUGGUCGAGUGAUCCUGCGCCGAAGAUUUCCGGGGCUAAAACUUACUACCGAAGCUACGGCAUCAGUAAUGAUGGGUAGGGGAGCUUCCCAUACGGGUUGAAGCAUGACCGUAAGGACAUGUGGACAGUAUGGGAGUGAGAAUGUUGGCAUGAGUAGCGAGAUGUGGGUGAGAAUCCCACAGGCCGUAAACCCAAGGUUUCCAGGGGAAGGUUCGUCCGCCCUGGGUUAGUCGGGACCUAAGCUGAGGCCGAAAGGCGUAGGUGAUGGACAACAGGUUGAUAUUCCUGUACUACCGAUAACCGUUUGAGAGAUGGGAUGACACAGUAGGAUAAGCUAAGCACACUGUUGGUUAUGUGUGCCCAAGCAUUGAGGCAGUCAGAGUAGGUAAAUCCGCUUUGACAAUGCUGGGAUGUGAUGGGGAGCGAAAUUUAGUAGCGAAGUAGCUGAUUUCACACUGUCAAGAAAAGUCUCUAUCGAGGUUAAAGGUACCCGUACCGCAAACCGACACAGGUGGGUGAGGAGAGUAUCCUAAGGCCCGCGAGAGAACUGUUGUUAAGGAACUCGGCAAAAUGACCCCGUAACUUAGGGAUAAGGGGUGCCACCAUACGGUGGCCGCAGAGAAUAGGCCCAAGCGACUGUUUACCAAAAACAUAGGUUUCUGCUAAGU
This 705-nucleotide ribosomal RNA is filed under the name Clostridioides sp. ZZV14-6105. RNAcentral's name for it is "partial 23S ribosomal RNA". It matches the Rfam family "Bacterial large subunit ribosomal RNA", at positions 1109 to 1831 of the family's 2925-position model. Lineage: Bacteria; Bacillati; Bacillota; Clostridia; Peptostreptococcales; Peptostreptococcaceae. The record is from RNAcentral.